AAUUCUUGGGUUUUAAUCGUCGAACGCGAGAUUAUUUAUUUCAAUCUUGUUUCAUUAGCCGAGAUUUAGUUAGUUUUAAUGUUGUCUCAUAUUUUUUUGAAACUAUUUGGAUUUGAUUUUCAGUCUAAUGGCGAAAUCAAUUGAGAUACUGUAUAUGAAGUUGUUGCUUCCUACAGAUCAAGAAAAUCAUCUAAGAAUUAGUCAAGGUUCGUUGUUGUUCGUCGUAGUGGAUUGUAAUUCGAUUGAUAAUUUUUUCAGGUUUUUUAUCCACUAGCAUAUGCUUAGUUCCUGGAGAAGAUGUUGCAUUAGUUUCUGGAGAAGAUGUUGCUGCUUG
This is a long non-coding RNA of Papaver somniferum (opium poppy), 334 nucleotides long. RefSeq lists it as uncharacterized. The transcript has 3 exons. NCBI's taxonomy places the organism in Eukaryota, Viridiplantae, Streptophyta, Magnoliopsida, Ranunculales, Papaveraceae. The record is from RefSeq and is a predicted model, not a curated record.